GACAGAGGGUGCGAACGUUGUUCGGAAUUACUGGGCGUAAAGCGCGUGUAGGCGGUCAUGCAAGUCGGGCGUGAAAUCCCUGGGCUCAACCGAGGAAGUGCGCACGAAACUGCACGACUGGAGUUCCGGAGAGGAUGGUGGAAUUCUCGGUGUAGAGGUGAAAUUCGUAGAUAUCGAGAGGAACACCAGUGGCGAAGGCGGCCAUCUGGACGGAAACUGACGCUGAGACGCGAAAGCGUGGGUAGCAAACAGG
Molecule: ribosomal RNA, 253 nt
Filed under: uncultured bacterium
Lineage: Bacteria
Description: partial 16S ribosomal RNA
Rfam family: Bacterial small subunit ribosomal RNA
Source: RNAcentral